Molecule: ribosomal RNA, 465 nt
Filed under: uncultured organism
Description: bacterial SSU rRNA
Rfam family: Bacterial small subunit ribosomal RNA
Source: RNAcentral
GACGAACGCUGGCGGCGUGCCUAACACAUGCAAGUCGAACGGAACACUUGUUUUCGGAUGAGUGUUUAGUGGCGGACGGGUGAGUAACGCGUGAGCAAUCUGCCCUUCGGAGGGGGACAACAGCUGGAAACGGCUGCUAAUACCGCAUAAUGUAUAUUGACGGCAUCGUCGAUAUACCAAAGAUUUAUCGCCGAAGGAUGAGCUCGCGUCUGAUUAGCUAGUUGGUAGGGUAACGGCCUACCAAGGCUGCGAUCAGUAGCCGGACUGAGAGGUUGAACGGCCACAUUGGGACUGAGAUACGGCCCAGACUCCUACGGGAGGCAGCAGUGGGGAAUAUUGGGCAAUGGGGGAAACCCUGACCCAGCAACGCCGCGUGAAGGAAGAAGGCUUUCGGGUUGUAAACUUCUUUGACCAGGGACGAAAAAAAUGACGGUACCUGGAAAACAAGCCACGGCUAACUACGUG